This 932-nucleotide ribosomal RNA is filed under the name Clostridioides difficile. Its description in RNAcentral is "partial 23S ribosomal RNA". It matches the Rfam family "Bacterial large subunit ribosomal RNA", at positions 408 to 1350 of the family's 2925-position model. The record is from RNAcentral. Lineage: Bacteria; Bacillati; Bacillota; Clostridia; Peptostreptococcales; Peptostreptococcaceae.
CAGAGUACCACGGGACACGUGAAACCCUGUGGGAAGCAGGAGGGACCACCCUCCAAGGCUAAAUACUACCUAGUGACCGAUAGCGUAUAGUACCGUGAGGGAAAGGUGAAAAGAACCCCGGGAGGGGAGUGAAAUAGAACCUGAAACCCUGCACUUACAAGCUGUGGAAGCACAUUUCUUGUGUGACCGCGUACUUUUUGUAGAACGGGCCAACGAGUUACGUUAAGUAGCAAGGUUAAGCACUUAAGGUGCGGAGCCGUAGCGAAAGCGAGUUUUAACUGAGCGUUCAGUUACUUGACGUAGACCCGAAACCGGGCGACCUACCCAUGAGCAGGAUGAAGCGAAAGUAAAAUUUCGUGGAGGUCCGAACCCACGAGCGUUGAAAAGCUCGGGGAUGACUUGUGGGUAGCGGUGAAAUUCCAAUCGAGCCCGGAGAUAGCUGGUUCUCCCCGAAAUAGCUUUAGGGCUAGCCUCAAGGUGAGAGAUACGGAGGUAGAGCACUGAAUGUCCUAGGGGGUAUUGCACCUACCGAAGACUAUCAAACUCCGAAUGCCGUCAUCUUAUACUUGGGAGUCAGACUGUGGGUGAUAAGAUUCAUAGUCGAAAGGGCAACAGCCCAGAUCGUCAGCUAAGGUCCCUAAAUGUAAGUUAAGUGGUAAAGGAUGUGGGAUUGCACAGACAACCAGGAUGUUGGCUUAGAAGCAGCCACUCAUUCAAAGAGUGCGUAAUAGCUCACUGGUCGAGUGAUCCUGCGCCGAAGAUUUCCGGGGCUAAAACUUACUACCGAAGCUACGGCAUCAGUAAUGAUGGGUAGGGGAGCUUCCCAUACGGGUUGAAGCAUGACCGUAAGGACAUGUGGACAGUAUGGGAGUGAGAAUGUUGGCAUGAGUAGCGAGAUGUGGGUGAGAAUCCCACAGGCCGUAAACCCAAGG